GAGGGAGGGCAAGAAGGACAGAGAAGAAAAAGGGAGGUAUCGAAGAAGGGAGGAGGAUGGAGAAGUCUGAGACAGAGUAAAGCGCAAAAAAAGGAAACAUGGAGGGGAAGGAAAUUAAUACAGAACCAAAACACACUGACUAAAGAAAGAAAGAAUGAGGAUGAUGAGAAUAGAAGAAGAAGAAGCGAAGCAAGAUAACGGUGAAGAUGCCAGAGAAGAACAUACCACAAAACAAAGGAAGAAGGGAAAAUUAAACAAGAAAGCAAGAAUGCAGAGAGAGGAGAAAAAGGUCAAGGACAUAGUGAAAUGAUGGGAGUGUCUCCCUCCGUGCCUCUCAGCAGCCCACAGCCCAGCACUCUCACCUGGUUUCCUCACUCUGCACCUCGACUCCGGAUCUCCUCAGUUCUCUGCACAAUUCUGACACAAUAAACCUGUUAACCCUCUUCCCUCUGUGUCUGCAUUUUGGGUCCUAUUCCUCACUGCCAUCACAUCUUACAUUAUUACUAAGAUAUAUCUGGACAGAGUUUGACUUUCUCAAAGUCAAAAGUAGAAACCUCAGAAUGGUAAAUUAAAAACAGACAAGCGCAUGACAAGUGAACACGAUAGUGAGCGAAGAUCUUAUUAAGAAAGACCCUCCGCACGCUGAUAGAAACCGAACUGUUUAGGAUAAACUGCAUCUCUGUGAGGCCAUUUCCUCGUGCCAUUCUUUUCAUCUUCUUCUCCUCUUUACUUUUGGCAGUCCAAUGUCACCAUGACGACAACAAAACAAACACGGCCCGAGCCACGGUUUUGUAGAUAAACACUUCAUUGUUGAGAUCUGUCGUCUUGUCAUGGAAAAGUUAUGAAACAAAUAAAUCUAUCUUGAACAA
Molecule: non-coding RNA, 869 nt
Organism: Epinephelus lanceolatus (giant grouper)
Lineage: Eukaryota; Metazoa; Chordata; Actinopteri; Perciformes; Serranidae
Source: RefSeq, a predicted model, not a curated record